RNAcentral lists this ribosomal RNA (253 nucleotides) under uncultured prokaryote. RNAcentral describes it as "partial 16S ribosomal RNA". It matches the Rfam family "Bacterial small subunit ribosomal RNA", at positions 524 to 776 of the family's 1533-position model. The record is from RNAcentral.
UACGGAGGGAGCUAGCGUUGUUCGGAAUUACUGGGCGUAAAGCGUACGUAGGCGACCAUUCAAGUCAGAGGUGAAAGCCCAGGGCUCAACUGGGGAGGGUCACUCGAUACUGAUCGACUCGAAGGCAGGAGAGGGAAGCGGAAUUCCCGGUGUAGUGGUGAAAUGCGUAGAUAUCGUAAGGAAGACCAGUGGCGAAAGCGGCUCACUGGACCAUAACUGACGCUGAGGCGCGAAAGCUAGGGGAGCAAACAGG